UUCCGGUUGAUCCCGCCGGAGGCCACUGCUAUUGGGAUCCGACUAAGCCAUGCGAGUCGAGAGGGUUCGGCCCUCGGCAGACUGCUCAGUAACACGUGGAUAACCUAACCUUAGGUGGAAGAUAACCUCGGGAAACUGAGAAUAAUAUUCCAUAGAUCUAGGAUGCUGGAAUGCAUCUAGAUUGAAAGUUCCGACGCCUAAGGAUGGGUCUACGGACUAUCAGGUUGCUAGCCUACGACGGAUAUGGGUUGUGAGAGCAAUAGCCCAGAGACGAUAUCUGAGACACGAUAUCGGGCCCUACGGGGCGCAGCAGGCGCGAAAUCUUCACAAUGUGCGAAAGCACGAUGAGGGGAUCCCAAGUGCUGGCACGUAAGUGUCAGCUGUUUCUUAGUCUAAAAAACUGGGAGAGUAAGGGCUGGGUAAGACGGGUGCCAGCCGCCGCGGUAAUACCUGCAGCUCAAGUGGUGGCCGCUAUUAUUGGGCCUAAAACGUCCGUAGCCUGUUUAGUAAAUGCUUGGGUAAAUUGUGUAGCUUAACUAUACGAAUACCGGGUAGACUGCUAAACUUGGGACCGGGAGAGGCUAGAGGUACUCCUGGGGUAGAGGUGA
RNAcentral lists this ribosomal RNA (608 nucleotides) under uncultured archaeon. RNAcentral's name for it is "bacterial SSU rRNA". It matches the Rfam family "Archaeal small subunit ribosomal RNA", at positions 1 to 635 of the family's 1478-position model. The record is from RNAcentral.